GACGAACGCUGGCGGCGUGCUUAACACAUGCAAGUCGAACGAUGAAGCUGGAGCUUGCUCCGGUGGAUUAGUGGCGAACGGGUGAGUAACACGUGAGCAAUCUGCCCUUCACUCUGGGAUAACUGCGGGAAACUGUAGCUAAUACCGGAUACGAGACCUUGGGGCAUCCCAGGGUCUGGAAAGAAUUUCGGUGAAGGAUGAGCUCGCGGCCUAUCAGCUAGUUGGUGAGGUAAUGGCUCACCAAGGCGACGACGGGUAGCCGGCCUGAGAGGGGGACCGGCCACGCUGGGACUGAGACACGGCCCAGACUCCUACGGGAGGCAGCAGUGGGGAAUAUUGCACAAUGGGCGAAGGCCUGAUACAGCAACGCCGCGUGAGGGAUGAAGGCCUUCGGGUUGUAAACCUCUUUUAGUAGGGAGGAAGCGCAAGUGACGGUACCUACAGAAAAAGCACCGGCUAACUACGUGCCAGCCGCCGCCGUAA
RNAcentral lists this ribosomal RNA (483 nucleotides) under uncultured bacterium. RNAcentral describes it as "partial 16S ribosomal RNA". It matches the Rfam family "Bacterial small subunit ribosomal RNA", at positions 28 to 523 of the family's 1533-position model. The record is from RNAcentral.